UAAAGGGYGCGUAGGYGGUUAAUUAAGUCAGGAUGUGAAAUCCCCGGGCUUAACCUGGGAAYUGCAUUUGAAACUGAUUGGCUAGAGUACGGGCAGAGGGAAGUGGAAUUUCCGGUGUAGCGGUGAAAUGCGUAGAUAUCRGAAGGAACACCAGUGGCGAAGGCGACUUCCUGGCCCGUUACUGACACUGAKGCRCGAAAGCGUGGGGAGCGAACAGGAUUAGAUACCCUGGUAGUCCACGCCGUAAACGAUGAGAACUAGAUGUUAGGUGGCUUAUACCAUUUAGUAUCGCAGCAAACGCGUUAAGUUCUCC
RNAcentral lists this ribosomal RNA (313 nucleotides) under uncultured bacterium. Its description in RNAcentral is "bacterial SSU rRNA". It matches the Rfam family "Bacterial small subunit ribosomal RNA", at positions 561 to 870 of the family's 1533-position model. The record is from RNAcentral.